Molecule: ribosomal RNA, 468 nt
Filed under: uncultured bacterium
Lineage: Bacteria
Description: partial 16S ribosomal RNA
Rfam family: Bacterial small subunit ribosomal RNA
Source: RNAcentral
GACGAACGCUGGCGGCGUGCUUAACACAUGCAAGUCGAACGGAAAGGCCCUGCUUUUGUGGGGUGCUCGAGUGGCGAACGGGUGAGUAACACGUGAGUAACCUGCCCUUGACUUUGGGAUAAAUUCAGGAAAAUGGGGCUAAUACCGGAUAGGAGCUCCUGCUGCAUGGUGGGGGUUGGAAAGUUUCGGCGGUUGGGGAUGGACUCGCGGCUUAUCAGCUUGUUGGUGGGGUAGUGGCUUACCAAGGCUUUGACGGGUAGCCGGCCUGGGAGGGUGACCGGCCACAUUGGGACUGAGGUACGGCCCAGACUCCUACGGGAGGCAGCAGUGGGGAAUAUUGCACAAUGGGCGGAAGCCUGAUGCAGCGACGCCGCGUGCGUGAUGACGGCCUUCGGGUUGUAAACCGCUUUCGCCUGUGACGAAGCGUGAGUGACGGUAAUGGGUAAAGAAGCACCGGCUAACUACGUG